CUACGGGUGGCACCAGUGGGGAAUAUUGCACAAUGGGCGCAAGCCUGAUGCAGCCAUGCCGCGUGUAUGAAGAAGGCCUUCGGGUUGUAAAGUACUUUCAGCGGGGAGGAAGGGAGUAAAGUUAAUACCUCUGCUCAUUGACGUUACCCGCAGAAGAAGCACCGGCUAACUCCGUGCCAGCAGCCGCGGUAAUACGGCGGGUGCAAGCGUUAAUCGGAAUUACUGGGCGUAAAGCGCACGCAGGCGGUUUGUUAAGUCAGAUGUGAAAUCCCCGGGCUCAACCUGGGAACUGCAUCUGAUACUGGCAGGCUUGAGUAUCGUAGAGGGGGGUAGAAUUCCAGGUGUAGCGGUGAAAUGCGUAGAGAUCUGGAGGAAUACCGGUGGCGAAGGCGGCCCCCUGGACGAAGACUGACGCUCAGGUGCGAAAGCGUGGGGAGCAAACAGGAUUAGAUACCCUGGUAGUC
This 464-nucleotide ribosomal RNA is filed under the name uncultured bacterium. RNAcentral describes it as "partial 16S ribosomal RNA". It matches the Rfam family "Bacterial small subunit ribosomal RNA", at positions 339 to 795 of the family's 1533-position model. The record is from RNAcentral.